Molecule: long non-coding RNA, 1161 nt
Organism: Nasonia vitripennis (jewel wasp)
Lineage: Eukaryota; Metazoa; Arthropoda; Insecta; Hymenoptera; Pteromalidae
Exons: 4
Source: RefSeq, a predicted model, not a curated record
AAUAUAUAGAAAAAUAUUUUAUUACUUAUUAUUUAAUACAUAUCAGUCUAAUUGAGGUACAAACAAAUUUGGAGGUUUCGACAUUUCAAGAAUCGUACACAUAUGAUCCAUAAUAUGUUUACACAAUUUUUUUUUUUACAGUGAAUUUCUUGUUACAAUAAUUACACGUAAACUCAUUCUUGUCAUGGGUAUAUACGUGUCUUUCUAAAGCAUCUUUCCUUGCAAAAGUCUUAUCACAUAUGUAACAGUCGUAGUUACGUAUCUUUAGUAUGUCUCAAUCUAUGGUUUAUUAGAAGUUGUUUUUGUACAAAACUCUUGUCACAAUCACUACAUUUGUAUAUUUUUAAAUUUGCAUGAGUUUUUUCAUGGACUUUUAAUUGCCAAUGUGUACUAAAACUUUUCUUGCAUGAUAAGCACUUGAUUACACAAUUUUUUAUUGCCAUGUGUCUUGAGAUGUACAUUUAGAUUACCUAUUUGUGAAAAACUCUUCUUACAUAUAUUACAUUUAUGCGGUUUAUUUUGUAAUCAGAAAAUAUACGUAGUAGCCGAACUACAGAAAGUUAUGGAAAAGUAAUAUCCGCACCGCGCCGACUGUAUUCAAAGAAAGUUGUGGGAAAGUAAUAUUCUAUGACGUAAUGCCAGUAUAGCAGAAAUAUAGUAAACGCGCAUCUUCACUAUUGCUCCUCUGACGUAAAUAUUGUGACAGCUGACAUAUUUUUUCUUGUGCUUCGUGAAUCGUUUAUAAUUAUAAGUUAAAACAUACAUCUGUGAUUUUUAUUAAAAAAAGACAUUUUAUUCAACAUUGAAACUGUAUAGCAUAUAUUUAUGGUAAAAUAUGCUAUAUUCUAACCUAUUUGUGACAAAUGUAUGUAGAUUCAUAAAACACCUGUUGAUCUGUGGAUGUUCAGCUCAGCACAUUCAACUUCACAAACAGAUUUUAAUCAUAUAAUUUGGAUCAAAGAAAUACUACACAAGAAAUACUAAUAAUUACACCAAAAAAAAUUCAAAAUUCAAGGAUGGCGUGAAUAAAUGAAUGGUACUGUAGCCUAUAUCUUACGUGAUUACUGUAUAAAAUUACGUAGAAUUUGUACGAUUUUUGGGACCUUAUAUUAAUAUAAAUUAUUGUAAUUAUCUUAAUAAAAUAUUUUGAAAAUAAAAUAA